UUUAAAGUCUAAUCUGCCCUAUGAGGAUUUAAAUGGCCGCGGUACUUUGACCGUGCAAAGGUAGCAUAAUAAUUAGUUUUUUAAUUGAAAGCUGGAAUGAAUGAUUGGACGAGAAAAUAACUGUCUCAAUUUAAUUUUUUUUUAGAAUUUUAUUUUUAAGUAAGAAAGCUUAAAUUUAAUUAAAAGACGAGAAGACCCUAUAGAGUUUUAUAUUUAAAUUUAUUAUUAGUUUUUUAGAAUUAUUUUAUUAAUAUAAAAUUAAAUAUUUUAUUGGGGCGAUAGAAAAAUAUUAUUAACUUUUUUUAUUAUUAAUUCAUUAAUUUAUGAAUCAAUGAUCCAUUUUUUAUGAUUAAAAGAAUAAGUUACCUUAGGGAUAACAGCGUUAUUUUUUUUUAGAGUUCUUAUCGAAAAAAAAGAUUGCGACCUCGAUGUUGGAUUAAAAUAUAUGUUUGGUGUAGAGGCUAAAUAAUUAGGUCUGUUCGACCUUUAAAAUUUUACA
RNAcentral lists this ribosomal RNA (499 nucleotides) under Maladera sp. 836044. Its description in RNAcentral is "partial 16S large subunit ribosomal RNA". It matches the Rfam family "Bacterial large subunit ribosomal RNA", at positions 1844 to 2600 of the family's 2925-position model. Lineage: Eukaryota; Metazoa; Arthropoda; Insecta; Coleoptera; Scarabaeidae. The record is from RNAcentral.